GGGUACAGUGACAUGCCUCUGUAGUCUCAGGUGCUCGGGAAACUGAGGCAGGAGGAUGGCUUGAGUCCAGGAAUUUGAGGUUGGCCUUGGCAACAUAGUAAGACCCUGUCUUUA
RNAcentral lists this small RNA (114 nucleotides) under Marmota monax (woodchuck). Lineage: Eukaryota; Metazoa; Chordata; Mammalia; Rodentia; Sciuridae. The record is from RNAcentral.